RNAcentral lists this ribosomal RNA (253 nucleotides) under uncultured bacterium. RNAcentral describes it as "partial 16S ribosomal RNA". It matches the Rfam family "Bacterial small subunit ribosomal RNA", at positions 524 to 776 of the family's 1533-position model. The record is from RNAcentral.
UACGUAGGGAGCAAGCGUUGUUCGGAUUUACUGGGCGUAAAGGGCGCGUAGGCGGCAUGGCAAGUGGAAGGUGAAAUCCCUCGGCUCAACUGAGGAACUGCCCUCCAAACUGCUUUGCUUGAGUCCGGGAGAGGUGAGUGGAAUUCCCAGUGUAGCGGUGAAAUGCGUAGAUAUUGGGAGGAACACCAGUUGCGAAGGCGGCUCACUGGACCGCAACUGACGCUGAGGCGCGAAAUCCUGGGUAUCAAACUUC